This is an unclassified non-coding RNA of Pongo abelii (Sumatran orangutan), 147 nucleotides long. It matches the Rfam family "Metazoan signal recognition particle RNA". From Rfam's summary of the family: The signal recognition particle (SRP) is a universally conserved ribonucleoprotein. It is involved in the co-translational targeting of proteins to membranes. NCBI's taxonomy places the organism in Eukaryota, Metazoa, Chordata, Mammalia, Primates, Hominidae. The record is from Ensembl.
GCUGGGCAUGGUGGUGCAUGCCUAUAGUCCCAGCUACUCAGGAGGCUGAGGUGGGAGGAUUGCUUGAGCCCAGGAGUUCAAGGCUGCAGUGACUAUGAUCAUACCACUGCACUCCAGCCUGGGCCACAGAGCAAGACCUUGUCUCAA